GAUGAAGAGCGCAGCGAAAUGCGAUAAGUAAUGCGAAUUGCAGAAUUCAGUGAGUCAUCGAAUCUUUGAACGCACAUUGCGCCCUGUGGUAUUCCGCAGGGCAUGCCUGUUCGAGCGUCAUUUCAACCCUCAAGCCUCGCUUGGUGUUGGGCCCUGCCCGCCGCGGCCGGCCCUAAAGAUAGUGGCGGCGCCGCCUGGCCCUCAGCGUAGUACAGCUCUCGCUCCAGGGUCCGGCGGCAGCCUGCCAGAACCCCCCAACUCUGUGGUUGACCUCGGAUCAGGUAGGGAUACCCGCUGAACUUAAGCAUAUCAAUAAGCGGAGGA
RNAcentral lists this unclassified non-coding RNA (324 nucleotides) under soil metagenome. Its description in RNAcentral is "partial contains 5.8S ribosomal RNA, internal transcribed spacer 2, and large subunit ribosomal RNA". The stretch from base 1 to 120 matches the Rfam family "5.8S ribosomal RNA", at positions 35 to 154 of the family's 154-position model. The record is from RNAcentral.